UACGAAGGGGGCUAGCGUUGUUCGGAUUCACUGGGCGUAAAGGGUGCGUAGGCGGUCGGGUAAGUCUGAUGUGAAAUCUCACAGCUUAACUGUGAAACUGCAUUGGAUACUAUUCGGCUAGAGAGUUGGAGGGGGGACUGGAAUUCUUGGUGUAGCAGUGAAAUGCGUAGAUAUCAAGAGGAACACCAGUGGCGAAGGCGAGUCCCUGGACAACUUCUGACGCUGAGGCACGAAAGCUAGGGGAGCAAACAGG
This 253-nucleotide ribosomal RNA is filed under the name uncultured bacterium. Its description in RNAcentral is "partial 16S ribosomal RNA". It matches the Rfam family "Bacterial small subunit ribosomal RNA", at positions 524 to 776 of the family's 1533-position model. The record is from RNAcentral.